This 324-nucleotide ribosomal RNA is filed under the name uncultured Trinematidae. RNAcentral's name for it is "SSU rRNA". The stretch from base 112 to 324 matches the Rfam family "Eukaryotic small subunit ribosomal RNA", at positions 741 to 955 of the family's 1831-position model. The record is from RNAcentral. Lineage: Eukaryota; Cercozoa; Imbricatea; Euglyphida; Trinematidae.
GAUUUCUGGCGAACCGAUGCGGCCCGUGUUCGUUUCGGGCGUGUGUGCCGUGUCGCGUUUGUCAUCCUUUCAGAAAGCUGCGUCUACCAUUCACUUGGCCGGACGUAUGCGAUCUGGAUCGAUUACUUUGAAAAAAUUAGAGUGUUUAAAGCAGGCUUAUGCUGUGAAUACAUUAGCAUGGAAUAAUAAUUUAGGACUUCGGUUCUAUUUUGUUGGUUUCUAGGACUGAAGUAAUGAUUGAUAGGGACAGUUGGGGGUGCUAGUAUUCCGCGGCCAGAGGUGAAAUUCUCGGAUUCGCUGAAGACUAACUUAUGCGAAAGCAUU